CCUACGGGAGGCUGCAGUCGAGGAUCUUUGGCAAUGGACGCAAGUCUGACCAAGCGACGCCGCGUGUGCGAUGAAGGCCUUCGGGUUGUAAAGCACUGUCGAGGGGAGCAUCUAUCUCUGGAGGAAGCACGGGCUAAGUUCGUGCCAGCAGCCGCGGUAAGACGAACCGUGCGAACGUUGUUCGGAAUCACUGGGCUUAAAGGGCGCGUAGGCGGGCAAUCAAGUCUGAGGUGAAAUCCUCCAGCUUAACUGGAGAAGUGCCCCGGAUACUGGUUGCCUCGAGGAUGGUAGGGGCAUCUGGAACUAGCGGUGGAGCGGUGAAAUGCGUUGAUAUCGCUAGGAACUCCGGUGGCGAAGGCGAGGUGCUGGACAUUCUGACGCUGAGGAGCGAAAGCCAGGGGAGCGAACGGGAUUAGAUACCCUUGUAGUC
RNAcentral lists this ribosomal RNA (430 nucleotides) under uncultured bacterium. Its description in RNAcentral is "partial 16S ribosomal RNA". It matches the Rfam family "Bacterial small subunit ribosomal RNA", at positions 338 to 795 of the family's 1533-position model. The record is from RNAcentral.